CCUCACGCAAGGUUGGGAGUUAUUUCCGUUAGGGUGGCUGGAGCAGCAGCUGCACAUGGCACACGUUAUCCUGCUGCCUCGCCGAGACCCACAACUCCCUUCCCAGUCACUUGCGGGUCUGGGGUGGGGUGUGGAUGGAUGCAGGCACUCAGAUCUUCUUCUCUUAUGCUAUCUGCCAGGGGUGCCUGACCGCUUUGGGCAGCUACAACAAGUACAACAACAACUGUUACAGGGACUGCUUCAUGUUACGUUUCCUGCUUCAUGUUAUGUGCCACCAGCUUUGUGGCUGGCUUUGCUAUCUUCUCUGUGCUGGGCUUCAUGGCACAAGAACAGGGUGUGCCCAUUUCAGAAGUGGCUGAGUCAGGU
Long non-coding RNA from Mauremys mutica (yellowpond turtle), 366 nucleotides. RefSeq lists it as uncharacterized. The record is from RefSeq and is a predicted model, not a curated record. The transcript has 3 exons. Lineage: Eukaryota; Metazoa; Chordata; Testudines; Geoemydidae.